Molecule: non-coding RNA, 336 nt
Organism: Pelobates cultripes (western spadefoot toad)
Lineage: Eukaryota; Metazoa; Chordata; Amphibia; Anura; Pelobatidae
Source: the annotation of a GenBank genome assembly
ACCUGAAGCCAGCGCUGCCGACGCUCCACCAAUGAGCUGAAGUGGUCUGGGUGACUAUAGUCUCUUUAUUAGCUAGCAGGGGAUUUAUCAUACCUAUCCCCUUCCUAGCCAGUAUGAUCCUUCUAAAGGUCAUCACUGGCAGGGCCGGACUGGGGACAAAAUUCGGCCCGGGAAUUUUUUAAUCAAAGCGGCCCACUGAGAAGGGGACGGGGCAGAUAGGGUGUGUUUUGUCAUAACAAAUGACAAGCAUGCACCCUGUAAAAGUAAGCAUGUUGGUUCAAUGCUCUUCCAUGCUCUGCUAAAGAGCUCUUGCAUGAGAAAAGGGCCCUGUAUUUG